AAUAUUUUUUAAAACAUAAAAAAGUUAUCAGAAUAUUGCAAAAACAAACCAAACACGCCCUUAGAAGAAUGCUAGAUUACAAAUUUAUCAUCUUUGUCUUAGUUAGCUCAUUAAUAGAAUAUUCUAAACCGUGAACCAAACACGCCCUUAGAAUAAUGCCAAACUUACAAACUGAAUGAACGCAAUUAAUCUCAAUCACGUUUGAUCAAAUAUAUUGGCACUAUUUUAUCCAGAUUCAACAUUUGACAUUCAAUGGGUUCUUCUCCUCUGCCUCUUCGCUUAUUUGUUGAUUGUCACUAUGGAAAAAAUUUAAAAAAUAAAUUAAAAAAAAAAACUUGAAUGAGCAGCAUCUCAAUCACAGGGCUCUCUCUAAAUCUGUCGUCCAAUGUGACAUUGAAAUUCGGAUAAAAAACAUCUAAAUUAGUACAUAUCGGAUCAUUGGCGUUAAUCAUUAAUCCCAAAAACUCGAGCUGUUAGAAAUACGUAACCAAUUCACUUAAAGCAUAUAGAUACAGCGCUCACGGGUCUCGAUUGUGACUCGGCCCAACCAGCCUCACGUCACUUCGAACAUGACUCGACCCACCCAGCCUCACACCAUUUCGAAUAUUACUCUACCCAACUUGGCCUCCUGCCAUAUGACAAGAUGCUGGUCCAUUUAAGCCAACAGUAUAAACUGUUAAAAUCCGUGUACCAAAUGAGUCACACAGCUCACCAAACUAUCUCGACAAGAU
This 731-nucleotide long non-coding RNA is filed under the name Ananas comosus (pineapple). RNAcentral's name for it is "long non-coding RNA (ACOM_LNC037132)". Lineage: Eukaryota; Viridiplantae; Streptophyta; Magnoliopsida; Poales; Bromeliaceae. The record is from RNAcentral.